This 431-nucleotide ribosomal RNA is filed under the name Rotylenchulus reniformis. Its description in RNAcentral is "SSU rRNA". It matches the Rfam family "Eukaryotic small subunit ribosomal RNA", at positions 1196 to 1650 of the family's 1831-position model. Lineage: Eukaryota; Metazoa; Nematoda; Chromadorea; Rhabditida; Hoplolaimidae. The record is from RNAcentral.
UGACUCAACACGGGGAAACUCACCCGGCCCGGACACCGUAAGGAUUGACAGAUUGAUAGCUUUUUCAUGAUUCGGUGGAUGGUGGUGCAUGGCCGUUCUUAGUUCGUGGAGCGAUUUGUCUGGUUUAUUCCGAUAACGAGCGAGACUCUGGCCUACUAAAUAGUUGACGCAUUGCCACUGUGCGCACAACUUCUUAGAGGGAUUUUCGGUGUUUUCAACCGCACGAAAUUGAGCAAUAACAGGUCUGUGAUGCCCUUAGAUGUCCGGGGCUGCACGCGCGCUACACUGGCAAACGCAACGUGCCUGUCCUGCCCCGAAAGGAGCGGGUAAACCCCUGAAAUUUUGCCGUGAUUGGGAUCGGACAUUGCAACUAUUGUCCGUGAACGAGGAAUUCCUUGUAGGGGCGAGUCAUCAACUCGUCCCGAAUACGU